UACGUAGGCAGCAAGCGUUGUUCGGAGUUACUGGGCGUAAAGGGUGUGUAGGCGGUUUUUUAAGUUUGGGGUGAAAUCUCCCGGCUCAACUGGGAGGGUGCGCCGAAUACUGAAAGACUAGAGUGCGGGAGAGGAAAGUGGAAUUCCUGGUGUAGCGGUGAAAUGCGUAGAUAUCAGGAGGAACACCGGUGGUGUAGACGGCUUUCUGGACCGUAACUGACGCUGAGACACGAAAGCGUGGGUAGCAAACAGG
RNAcentral lists this ribosomal RNA (253 nucleotides) under uncultured bacterium. RNAcentral's name for it is "partial 16S ribosomal RNA". It matches the Rfam family "Bacterial small subunit ribosomal RNA", at positions 524 to 776 of the family's 1533-position model. The record is from RNAcentral.